This 531-nucleotide ribosomal RNA is filed under the name Trichoderma virens. RNAcentral's name for it is "eukaryotic LSU rRNA". The stretch from base 163 to 316 matches the Rfam family "5.8S ribosomal RNA". Lineage: Eukaryota; Fungi; Ascomycota; Sordariomycetes; Hypocreales; Hypocreaceae. The record is from RNAcentral.
CAAACUGUUGCCUCGGCGGGACUCUGCCCCGGGUGCGUCGCAGCCCCGGACCAAGGCGCCCGCCGGAGGACCAACCAAAACUCUUAUUGUAUACCCCCUCGCGGGUUUUUUACUAUCUGAGCCAUCUCGGCGCCCCUCGUGGGCGUUUCGAAAAUGAAUCAAAACUUUCAACAACGGAUCUCUUGGUUCUGGCAUCGAUGAAGAACGCAGCGAAAUGCGAUAAGUAAUGUGAAUUGCAGAAUUCAGUGAAUCAUCGAAUCUUUGAACGCACAUUGCGCCCGCCAGUAUUCUGGCGGGCAUGCCUGUCCGAGCGUCAUUUCAACCCUCGAACCCCUCCGGGGGGUCGGCGUUGGGGAUCGGCCCUUUACGGGGCCGGCCCCGAAAUACAGUGGCGGUCUCGCCGCAGCCUCUCCUGCGCAGUAGUUUGCACACUCGCAUCGGGAGCGCGGCGCGUCCACAGCCGUUAAACACCCCAAACUUCUGAAAUGUUGACCUCGGAUCAGGUAGGAAUACCCGCUGAACUUAAGCAUA